RNAcentral lists this ribosomal RNA (425 nucleotides) under uncultured bacterium. RNAcentral describes it as "bacterial SSU rRNA". It matches the Rfam family "Bacterial small subunit ribosomal RNA", at positions 359 to 776 of the family's 1533-position model. The record is from RNAcentral.
GAAUCUUCCGCAAUGGACGAAAGUCUGACGGAGCAACGCCGCGUGAACGAUGAAGGCCUUCGGGUCGUAAAGUUCUGUUGUUAGGGAAGAACAAGUAUCGGAGUAACUGCCGGUACCUUGACGGUACCUAACCAGAAAGCCACGGCCAACUCCGUUCCCGCAACCGCGGUAAUACGUAGGUGGCAAGCGUUGUCCGGAAUUAUUGGGCGUAAAGCGCGCGCAGGCGGUCCUUUAAGUCUGAUGUGAAAGCCCACGGCUCAACCGGGGAGGGUCAUUGGAAACUGGGGGACUUGAGUGCAGAAGAGGAAUGCGGAAUUCCACGUGUAGCGGUGAAAUGCGUAGAGAUGUGGAGGAACACCAGUGGCGAAGGCGGCUUUCUGGUCUGUAACUGACGCUGAGGCGCGAAAGCGUGGGGAGCAAACAGG